UAAAAGUGGUGUAAAAAAGUAGUGUGUUCACAGUGUUGGAAACUGAGAUUGGUCGACCUCUAAAAAGAGCUCCUGAAUUUCAAUAAAUGAUCUUUUUUCUCUCGGUAUAGGGUGACCUGCGGAAGGAUCAUUAAUGAAAUUCAAGGACGCUCUUUUUAGAGGUCCGACCAAUCUCAUUUUCCAACACUGUGAACACACUACUUUUUUACACCCACUUUUAUAACACAAAAGUCUAUAAGAAUGUCAAAGUCUCUUAACUGAGCAUAAAGUUAAUAAUAAAACUUUCGGCAACGGAUCUCUUGGCUCCCGCAUCGAUGAAGAACGCAGCGAAAUGCGAUACGUAAUGUGAAUUGCAGAAUUCAGUGAAUCAUCGAAUCUUUGAACGCACCUUGCACUCUUUGGUAUUCCGAAGAGUAUGUCUGUUUGAGUGUCAUGAAUCUCUCAACCCCCCUGUUUUGUAAUGAGACAGGCGUUCGGGCUUGGAUUAUGGUCGCUUGCUGGUCGUAGAGCUCUAACUAGCUCUACACUUAUCAGCUCGACUGAAAUACACGAGCAACCCAGUUUGAAUAUUAACGGCUUGACUCGGCGUAAUAAUUAUUUCGCUGAGGACGUUUCAUAUCAAGAUAGUGGUGCUUCUAAUGCAGAGCGUGUAACAGCGUCUCUACUCUUAAGCCUUAGACCUCAAAUCAGGCAGGACUACCCGCUGAACUUAAGCAUAUCAUAACCGGGAAGGAAAAAGGUAUCUUAAUUAAAAUCAGGACGCUCUUUUUAGAGGUCCGACCAAUCUCAUUUUCAACACUGUGAACACACUACUUUUUUACACCACUUUUA
Molecule: ribosomal RNA, 831 nt
Filed under: Erythrobasidium sp. UFMG-ABT330
Lineage: Eukaryota; Fungi; Basidiomycota; Cystobasidiomycetes; Erythrobasidiales; Erythrobasidiaceae
Description: eukaryotic LSU rRNA
Rfam family: 5.8S ribosomal RNA (bases 280-433)
Source: RNAcentral